This 75-nucleotide transfer RNA is filed under the name Parachlamydiales bacterium. RNAcentral's name for it is "tRNA-Pro". It matches the Rfam family "tRNA". Rfam says of the family: Transfer RNA (tRNA) molecules are approximately 80 nucleotides in length. Their secondary structure includes four short double-helical elements and three loops (D, anti-codon, and T loops). The record is from RNAcentral. Lineage: Bacteria; Pseudomonadati; Chlamydiota; Chlamydiia; Parachlamydiales.
CUGGGUGUGGCGCAGCUUGGCUAGCGCACUUGCAUGGGGUGCAAGGGGUCGUAGGUUCGAAUCCUAUCACCCAGA